GUCGAGAAUAAUUCACAAUGGGGGAAACCCUGAUGGUGCAACGCCGCGUGGAGGAUGAAGGUCUUCGGAUUGUAAACUCCUGUCAUCUGGGAGUAAGACCUGACGGUGAAUAGCCGGCAGGGUUGAUAGUACCAGAAGAGGAAGGGACGGCUAACUUCGUGCCAGCAGCCGCGGUAAUACGAAGGUCCCAAGCGUUGUUCGGAAUCACUGGGCGUAAAGGGAGCGUAGGCGGCGUGGUAAGUCAGAUGUGAAAUCCCGGGGCUCAACCCCGGAACUGCAUCCGAUACUGCCAUGCUUGAGGGUUGGAGAGGUAGCUGGAAUUCUCGGUGUAGCAGUGAAAUGCGUGGAUAUCGAGAGGAACACUCGUGGCGAAGGCGAGCUACUGGACAACAUCUGACGCUGAGGCUCGAAGGCCAGGGGAGCAAAAGGGAUUAGAUACCCUAGUAGUCC
Molecule: ribosomal RNA, 450 nt
Filed under: uncultured bacterium
Lineage: Bacteria
Description: bacterial SSU rRNA
Rfam family: Bacterial small subunit ribosomal RNA
Source: RNAcentral